AUACGGAGGGAGCGAGCGUUAAUCGGAAUUACUGGGCGUAAAGCGCGCGUAGGCGGCUUUGUAAGUCGGAUGUGAAAGCCCAGGGCUCAACCCUGGAAUUGCAUUCGAUACUGCAGAACUAGAGUAUGGUAGAGGGAAGUGGAAUUUCCGGUGUAGCGGUGAAAUGCGUAGAUAUCGGAAGGAACACCAGUGGCGAAGGCGACUUCCUGGGCCAAUACUGACGCUGAGGUGCGAAAGCGUGGGGAGCAAACAGGAUUAGAAACCCGAGUAGUCC
Molecule: ribosomal RNA, 274 nt
Filed under: uncultured bacterium
Lineage: Bacteria
Description: partial 16S ribosomal RNA
Rfam family: Bacterial small subunit ribosomal RNA
Source: RNAcentral